UCCCAACUUAAUCGCGCCACAAUAGCCCGUUCUUGAUUUGCUCUCCAGAACACACACCUAUUCAAAUGGAUUCCUUCAAUCUACACUCUUCAAAAAAUUUCGCCAAAUAGUUAUAGAUUCUUGAACAAACUGGUUCAUUUGAGAAGCAAAAGAAUUAAAUAUAACAAAAACAGAAUCAGUUUUUUUUUCUUUUUUUGAAGAAG
RNAcentral lists this unclassified non-coding RNA (203 nucleotides) under Hevea brasiliensis (rubber tree). Lineage: Eukaryota; Viridiplantae; Streptophyta; Magnoliopsida; Malpighiales; Euphorbiaceae. The record is from RNAcentral.